RNAcentral lists this ribosomal RNA (253 nucleotides) under uncultured bacterium. RNAcentral's name for it is "partial 16S ribosomal RNA". It matches the Rfam family "Bacterial small subunit ribosomal RNA", at positions 524 to 776 of the family's 1533-position model. The record is from RNAcentral.
UACGUAGGGUGCAAGCGUUGUCCGGAAUUAUUGGGCGUAAAGAGCGUGUAGGCGGUCAGGUAGGUCCGUUGUGAAAACUCGAGGCUCAACCUCGAGACGCCGAUGGAAACCAUCUGACUAGAGUCCGGAAGAGGAGAGUGGAAUUCCUGGUGUAGCGGUGAAAUGCGCAGAUAUCAGGAAGAACACCCGUGGCUAAGGCGGCUCUCUAGUACGGUACUGACGCUGAGACGCGAAAGCGUGGGGAGCGAACAGG